RNAcentral lists this signal recognition particle RNA (99 nucleotides) under Treponema sp. CETP13. Its description in RNAcentral is "signal recognition particle sRNA small type". It matches the Rfam family "Bacterial small signal recognition particle RNA". From Rfam's summary of the family: The signal recognition particle (SRP) is a universally conserved ribonucleoprotein involved in the co-translational targeting of proteins to membranes. Archaeal SRP consists of a 7S RNA and homologues of the eukaryotic SRP19 and SRP54 proteins. In most bacteria, the SRP consists of a 4.5S RNA and the Ffh protein (a homologue of the eukaryotic SRP54 protein). Lineage: Bacteria; Pseudomonadati; Spirochaetota; Spirochaetia; Treponematales; Treponemataceae. The record is from RNAcentral.
GCCUAGGUGCUAUGCAAAGCAUCGCUUGCGAACUCAGCCAGAUCCGGAAGGAAGCAACUGCAACAAGAUGAUGUUUGUGCCGUAGUUAACCUAGGCAUU